RNAcentral lists this ribosomal RNA (253 nucleotides) under uncultured bacterium. RNAcentral's name for it is "partial 16S ribosomal RNA". It matches the Rfam family "Bacterial small subunit ribosomal RNA", at positions 524 to 776 of the family's 1533-position model. The record is from RNAcentral.
UACGUAGGGUGCGAGCGUUGUCCGGAAUUAUUGGGCGUAAAGCGCGUGUAGGCGGCUUUGCAAGUCGGGUGUGAAAGCCCUCAGCUCAACUGAGGAAGUGCGCCCGAAACUGCAGAGCUUGAGUACCGGAGAGGAUGGCGGAAUUCCCGAAGUAGAGGUGAAAUUCGUAGAUAUCGGGAGGAACACCGGUGGCGAAGGCGGCCAUCUGGACGGAUACUGACGCUAAGACGCGAAAGCGUGGGGAGCAAACAGG